UGGGUGAUGGGAGCUCUGGCCCCUGCUUGGCUGAUUUGCAGGUGGGCAUGCAGGGUGAGCCUGGUGCACGGGACAGGAGGUGGGGAGUUGAGAGCUGGAGUCAGGUGCCACUCACGCCGAGAUGAUGAGGUGUUAACCCCAAACUCUGGCUCCCAUUGGGCUGAGGCUUUAAGAAAACAGAGGCAGUGAGUCUGGCGUCCCGAAGAGCCUUGCCGAGCUGGGCAUGGAGAACGGGCCUCCUGGACGGUCACCUGCCCAGCUGCCAAUGACGCCGGAGAGCUGGAGCUGGGACUUGGAGGAUCUUCAGAGAGGCAGGAGGGUGGUCUCAACGUGCUCCCACCCCGACCCCAAGCCCAUGUGGAGAUGGCCAACAGAGCCUCUUGGAGAGCUGGAUUUGCGUCCCCUGCAGCUUGGGGUUGCUGAUGGUGACUGACAGGCCUCAGAGAUAGGGACAGGAUGAUUGAUGAGUGACAGCCUGAAGGAGCUGAGCACAGCGUGGCUGGCCUGGCAGCUGCUGACCCCACCCCACUUCCUGGCUCUCUGCCUCCUUCUCUGGAGAAGUACCCUCAGCCAAUGGAGCCACAACACCCGACAACUGAAGGCGGGGAGCAUCAGGAGGGGCCCCAGGGAGCUGGCCCCAAGGUCAGGAUGCUGUGGGACGAUGCCUUGCUGGCCACUGUGACUGGAGCCCCUUGAGGGUGGCCCCUGGCAUGAGGUGGCAGAGCAGCUGCUCAGGCCUCCACCUGUGGUCACCUGGGACAGGACUCAGGUGGAUAGGGAUGCCCAGCUUGUGCAAGAUCCCUCGUGUGGAGAGAUAGAUGGGAAAAUAGCCACGGGAAGGAUGUGGAGUGGGGAGGCUGUCGCUCAACACUACUGACACUCAGAGGAGGGACAAUGACAAGUUCAGGGCUGUAGAUCACCAAUCUAAAGCAAAGACAGGUUUCCUUGGCAGAAUUUAAGGAAAUGCUUCUCUUCUAUAGCCAGAGGUCGGAAGGCUGAAGACAAGGUGCAGGCCCUCAAAGAAGGCCAGACUUCUAGCCCAGGAAGUUCCUUCUCCAAAGUCAGGGCCCCGAGAGGGAGGUGGGGUCCCUGCUAUCUGAGAUGAACUACCUGGGGAGACACUCUUGAGACCUUGACCCCCAGAUUCUCCUGUACCUCCGGGCCUGAAGCAGUGGCCCAUUGCCUUGGUUGGAAGACAGAGGUCCUCUCUUACAUAAAGACCACGCAGAAACUAAGGGAAGGUACCUUAGGAGACAAGGUGUUCCCCUCUUCAGCGUCUGCCCCCACCUCCCCUCCUGACCACCAGGCUCAAAGCUGGGAUCACAUCUCAGCAUGACCUAUCUAUCCCAGGACGUGCUUGGCAUGCCAGGUAUCGAGAGGGGUGAACAAGCAGAGGAGUGGUGGGAGAAGCCAGCAGGGACCGGCAGGGUCUGGAGAAUAUUCUUAGAUGUAGACUCUGAACGUUCUAGCUCAAGGGAGGCUGGUAGAAGCUGGAGACUGGAGAGUUGGUUAGUACAGAAACACCAACCCCUAGAAAGGCCCUGGGAAGAUGAUUCUAGUAUGUUGUGUGGAACGGCUUUUUUUUUGAGACAGGGUCUCUCUCUGUCGCCCAGGCUGGAGUGCAGUGCUAUGAUCUGAGCUCUGCAAUCUCCACUUCCCAGGUUCAAGCGAUCCCCCUGUCUCAGCCUCCCCAGUACCUGGUAUUACAGGCAUGCCCCACCAGGCCCAGCUAAUGUAGUUUUUUUUUGUUUGUUUGUUUUUUUAGUAGAAAUGGGGUUUUGCCAUGUUGGCCAGGCUGGUCUCGAACUCCUGACCUAAAGUGAUCUGCCCAUCUUGGCCUCCCAAAGUGCUGGGAUUACAGGUGUGAGCCACAGUGCCUGGCGCUUGGGGAGGGUUCUUGAGAGCUUAGAAAAAGUGAUAGUGCAUAGACAAUGAAGUGGAGAUGCCAGAGCAGCCCUGGAGCAAAGUCUCAGGAUGGCUCCUCUGUUGUAGGUUGUGCAGGAAAACAGCACAAGAGCGAGGCCAUCUCAAAACUGCCGUGAUGACGCACGUUUCACCCCACAUACCAAGGUGCUCUGCAGUCAGUUCUUUAAACAAUGCCUGUAGCUUACAUAACCCCUUGUAAAGAUGCUCAGCUAAACCCCUCCCCAGGUGUUUAUGAGUUUUGCAAGAAAGUCUGAGACGUGGCCGCCUGCACGUGUUUCACCCCGAAAGCUUGCUGCAUGCAAAUACUUUCUGCAGGGCAGAUGUGGGGGUCCACCGUUUUGUGGCUGCCCGGGACAUGGCUUCGUUCCUAAGUCCCUAUUAAAUAUUUCUUUACGAGAAA
Molecule: non-coding RNA, 2326 nt
Organism: Callithrix jacchus (white-tufted-ear marmoset)
Lineage: Eukaryota; Metazoa; Chordata; Mammalia; Primates; Cebidae
Source: RefSeq, a predicted model, not a curated record